RNAcentral lists this long non-coding RNA (516 nucleotides) under Salmo salar (Atlantic salmon). Its description in RNAcentral is "lncRNA (ENSSSAG00000098636.1)". The record is from RNAcentral. Lineage: Eukaryota; Metazoa; Chordata; Actinopteri; Salmoniformes; Salmonidae.
CCCCUUCUCUACAGCCCAGAGAGAGAGAGAGAGAGCAAGAGCAAGAGAGACUACCUUUCCUUACUCUGGACUCUACUGCUCCACCAUGGCACCUGUCACAGACAGAGAGACACGGACCUAGGAGCGCUACAGUACCAGGAACACACAGAGUACAAAGGUUCCAGUGCCACUGUGAGAAGCUGCUUCAGUCCCAUCAGAGCUGAGAGGUGUCCGAUACAGCAGACGCAGAACAGGGAACGCCACACUACGCAGGAAGGCUGACAACCGAUUGGAGAGGAGCGUGACGACAACAACCCAACCCAUUCCAACGCUAGCCGUGCCAGGCUACUGCCAACCCCAGGACGCCAUGAUGAUGACCGUAAUGAUGAUGAUGGCGAUGAUGGUGACAUGUAGCUCCUUGCUCCUCUUGGGACUCAUGGCCUCCCAGGUCUCGUCCAGCGGAAUCCCCAAGACCAGUGACUCCUCUUCACCCUCCUCGUCCUCCUCACACCCAUCCUCCUCUUCCCCUCGCAUGAA